This 253-nucleotide ribosomal RNA is filed under the name uncultured bacterium. Its description in RNAcentral is "partial 16S ribosomal RNA". It matches the Rfam family "Bacterial small subunit ribosomal RNA", at positions 524 to 776 of the family's 1533-position model. The record is from RNAcentral.
UACAGAGGUCUCGAGCGUUGUUCGGAUUCAUUGGGCGUAAAGGGUGCGUAGGUGGCGCUGUAAGUCAGGUGUGAAAUUUCGGAGCUUAACUCCGAAACUGCAUUUGAUACUGCGGUGCUUGAGGACUGGAGAGGAGACUGGAAUUCACGGUGUAGCAGUGAAAUGCGUAGAGAUCGUAAGGAAGACCAGUGGCGAAGGCGGGUCUCUGGACAGUUCCUGACACUGAGGCACGAAGGCCAGGGGAGCAAACGGG